This 253-nucleotide ribosomal RNA is filed under the name uncultured bacterium. Its description in RNAcentral is "partial 16S ribosomal RNA". It matches the Rfam family "Bacterial small subunit ribosomal RNA", at positions 524 to 776 of the family's 1533-position model. The record is from RNAcentral.
UACGUAGGUCCCGAGCGUUAUCCGGAAUUAUUGGGCGUAAAGAGCAUGUAGGCGGUUUAUUAAGUUUGGUGUGAAAGCUAGUGGCUCAACCACUAAAUUGCAUUGAAAACUGAUAAACUAGAAUACUGGAGGGGCAAGUGGAAUUCCAUGUGUAGCGGUGGAAUGCGUAGAUAUAUGGAGGAACACCAAUGGCGAAGGCAGCUUGCUGGACAGAGAUUGACGCUGAGAUGCGAAAGCGUGGGUAGCAAACAGG